RNAcentral lists this ribosomal RNA (253 nucleotides) under uncultured bacterium. Its description in RNAcentral is "partial 16S ribosomal RNA". It matches the Rfam family "Bacterial small subunit ribosomal RNA", at positions 524 to 776 of the family's 1533-position model. The record is from RNAcentral.
CACGUAGGGCGCGAGCGUUGUCCGGAAUUAUUGGGCGUAAAGAGCUCGUAGGCGGCCUGUUGCGUCCGCUGUGAAAGCCCGGGGCUUAACCCCGGGUCGGCAGUGGAUACGGGCAGGCUAGAGGUAGGUAGGGGAGAAUGGAAUUCCCGGUGUAGCGGUGAAAUGCGCAGAUAUCUGGAGGAACACCGGUGGCGAAGGCGGCGUGCUGGACUGCAACUGACACUGAGGAACGAAAGCCAGGGGAGCAAACGGG